AAACAUGUCUUUUUGAAUUAUAUUUAAAGUCUGACCUGCCCACUGAAUAAGUUUAAAUGGCCGCAGUAUUUUGACUGUGCAAAGGUAGCAUAAUCAUUAGUCUUUUAAUUGAAGGCUGGUAUGAAUGGUUGGACGAAGUAUAAGCUGUUUCAUAUAAAUUUAUGAUAGAAUUUUAUAUUUUAGUUAAAAAGCUAAAAUUUUAUUAAAAGACGAGAAGACCCUAUAAAUCUUUAUAAUUAAUAUUAACUAAAUUUUUUUGAUUUGUUUUAUUUUUUUAGUGUUAAUUAUUUUGUUGGGGUGAUGUUAAAAUUUAAUGAACUUUUAAUUUUUAAAAAUCAUUAAUUUAUGAAUAGUUGAUCCAUUAAUAAUGAUUAUAAGACUAAGUUACUUUAGGGAUAACAGCGUAAUUUUUUUUGAGAGUUCAUAUCGACAAAAAAGUUUGCGACCUCGAUGUUGGAUUAAGGUAUAGUUUUGGGUGUAGCUGUUCAAAAAUUAAGUCUGUUCGACUUUUAAAUCCUUACAUGAUC
Molecule: ribosomal RNA, 527 nt
Filed under: Anastrepha manihoti
Lineage: Eukaryota; Metazoa; Arthropoda; Insecta; Diptera; Tephritidae
Description: partial small subunit ribosomal RNA
Rfam family: Bacterial large subunit ribosomal RNA
Source: RNAcentral